RNAcentral lists this ribosomal RNA (716 nucleotides) under uncultured bacterium. RNAcentral's name for it is "bacterial SSU rRNA". It matches the Rfam family "Bacterial small subunit ribosomal RNA", at positions 771 to 1501 of the family's 1533-position model. The record is from RNAcentral.
AACAGGAUUAGAUACCCUGGUAGUCCACGCCGUAAACGAUGCUAACUCGUUUUUGGGUCUUCGGAUUCAGAGACUAAGCGAAAGUGAUAAGUUAGCCACCUGGGGAGUACGUUCGCAAGAAUGAAACUCAAAGGAAUUGACGGGGGCCCGCACAAGCGGUGGAUUAUGUGGUUUAAUUCGAUGAUACGCGAGGAACCUUACCAAGGCUUAAAUGGGAAUUGACAGGUUUAGAAAUAGACUUUUCUUCGGACAAUUUUCAAGGUGCUGCAUGGUUGUCGUCAGCUCGUGCCGUGAGGUGUUAGGUUAAGUCCUGCAACGAGCGCAACCCCUGCCACUAGUUGCUAGCAUUAAGUUGAGGACUCUAGUGAGACUGCCUACGCAAGUAGAGAGGAAGGUGGGGAUGACGUCAAAUCAUCACGGCCCUUACGCCUUGGGCCACACACGUAAUACAAUGGCCGGUACAGAGGGCAGCUACACAGCGAUGUGAUGCAAAUCUCGAAAGCCGGUCUCAGUUCGGAUUGGAGUCUGCAACUCGACUCUAUGAAGCUGGAAUCGCUAGUAAUCGCGCAUCAGCCAUGGCGCGGUGAAUACGUUCCCGGGCCUUGUACACACCGCCCGUCAAGCCAUGGAAGUCUGGGGUACCUGAAGUCGGUGACCGUAACAGGAGCUGCCUAGGGUAAAACAGGUAACUAGGGCUAAGUCGUAACAAGGUAACC